UGGGGAAUUUUGCACAAUGGGGGAAACCCUGAUGCAGCGACGCCGCGUGAUUUAGAAGGCCUUCGGGUUGUAAAAAUCUUUUCUAUGGGAAGAAAAUGACAGUACCAUAAGAAUAAGGACCGGCUAAUUACGUGCCAGCAGCCGCGGUAAUACGUAAGGUCCGAGCGUUGUCCGGAAUCAUUGGGCGUAAAGGGUACGUAGGCGGGUAAGCAAGUUAGAAGUGAAAUCCUAUAGCUCAACUAUAGUAAGCUUUUAAAACUGCUCAUCUUGAGGUAUGGAAGGGAAAGUGGAAUUCCUAGUGUAGCGGUGAAAUGCGCAGAUAUUAGGAGGAAUACCGGUGGCGAAGGCGACUUUCUGGCCAUAACCUGACGCUGAGGUACGAAAGCGUGGGUAGCAAACAGG
RNAcentral lists this ribosomal RNA (402 nucleotides) under bacterium. RNAcentral describes it as "partial 16S ribosomal RNA". It matches the Rfam family "Bacterial small subunit ribosomal RNA", at positions 355 to 776 of the family's 1533-position model. The record is from RNAcentral.